ACGACGCUGGCGGCGUGCCUAACACAUGCAAGUCGAGCGAGGAGAUUCCUCGGGAUGAUCCUAGCGGCGGACGGGUGAGUAACACGUGGGCAACCUGCCUCAUAGAGAGGAAUAGCCUUCCGAAAGGGAGAUUAAUACCUCAUAACAUUGCAGUUUCGCAUGGAACAGCAAUUAAAGGAGUAAUCCGCUAUGAGAUGGGCCCGCGGCGCAUUAGCUAGUUGGUGAGGUAACGGCUCACCAAGGCGACGAUGCGUAGCCGACCUGAGAGGGUGAUCGGCCACAUUGGGACUGAGACACGGCCCAGACUCCUACGGGAGGCAGCAGUGGGGAAUAUUGCACAAUGGGGGAAACCCUGAUGCAGCCAACGCCGCGUGAGUGAUGACGGCCUUCGGGUUGUAAAGCUCUGUCUUCAGGGACGAUAAUGACGGUACCUGAGGAGGAAGCCACGGCUAACUACGUGCCAGCAGCAGC
Molecule: ribosomal RNA, 471 nt
Filed under: uncultured bacterium
Lineage: Bacteria
Description: bacterial SSU rRNA
Rfam family: Bacterial small subunit ribosomal RNA
Source: RNAcentral